This 468-nucleotide ribosomal RNA is filed under the name uncultured bacterium. RNAcentral describes it as "partial 16S ribosomal RNA". It matches the Rfam family "Bacterial small subunit ribosomal RNA", at positions 28 to 507 of the family's 1533-position model. The record is from RNAcentral.
GACGAACGCUGGCGGCGUGCUUAACACAUGCAAGUCGAACGGAAAGGCCCUGCUUUUGUGGGGCGCUCGAGUGGCGAACGGGUGAGUAACACGCGAGUAACCUGCCCUUGACUUUGGGAUAACUUCAGGAAACUGGGGCUAAUACCGGAUAGGAGCUCCUGCUGCAUGGUGGGGGUUGGAAAGUUUCGGCGGUUGGGGAUGGACUCGCGGCUUAUCAGCUUGUUGGUGGGGUAGUGGCUUACCAAGGCUUUGACGGGUAGCCGGCCUGAGAGGGUGACCGGCCACAUUGGGACUGAGAUACGGCCCAGACUCCUACGGGAGGCAGCAGUGGGGAAUAUUGCACAAUGGGCGGAAGCCUGAUGCAGCAACGCCGCGUGCGGGAUGACGGCCUUCGAGUUGUAAACCGCUUUCGCCUGUGACGAAGCGUGAGUGACGGUAAUGGGUAAAGAAGCACCGGCUAACUACGUG